Molecule: non-coding RNA, 29 nt
Filed under: Homo sapiens (human)
Lineage: Eukaryota; Metazoa; Chordata; Mammalia; Primates; Hominidae
Source: RNAcentral
UUAGCAAAGAAUGUCACUGCAUGAUGCCC